GCGAAUAUAAGAAGUAUUUCGUGAAGGCCGUAGACACGGUGAAGCUGGAAAUUUUCAGAUUCUCAGCUUUCUAAGUUUUUGGUGUUUCUUUCUUCUUUUUGUGUUUAUAAUUGUUUCUCACUAUUGAGUUUAGAUUUGUUGCUUUUUGUGGGCUGGUCAAUGUGUGAAUUUGUUGAAUUUGAGUAAUUUUGUUUUGAAGAUAUUCUUAACUGUAUAUAUGCAAUAUUGUAACAACACUCAAAAGUAAUAGCACCGAAUGAAUCAUUUUUGUGGAAGAUUAUUUGAUAGAGAGAUGGAGUCGAUUUUUAAGUUUCGAUUUUUCAUUUCCGCAGAAGGCUUUAUUUUUUGGCAUAUCAAAGGUUACAACAUGGUCACUUUACAUACAAGCGAAGAAGGAGAUGAAAUAUCUUUUAAUGGGAACGCCAG
RNAcentral lists this long non-coding RNA (426 nucleotides) under Capsicum annuum. RNAcentral describes it as "long non-coding RNA (CANN_LNC007737)". The record is from RNAcentral. Lineage: Eukaryota; Viridiplantae; Streptophyta; Magnoliopsida; Solanales; Solanaceae.